GGGUAGGUACCAAAGCGGCUAAAUGGGUGUGGCUGUAAACCACAUGACUUCGGUCUUCGGGGGUUCAAAUCCCUCCCUACCCA
RNAcentral lists this transfer RNA (83 nucleotides) under Candidatus Nealsonbacteria bacterium CG_4_8_14_3_um_filter_39_7. RNAcentral's name for it is "tRNA-Tyr". It matches the Rfam family "tRNA". Rfam says of the family: Transfer RNA (tRNA) molecules are approximately 80 nucleotides in length. Their secondary structure includes four short double-helical elements and three loops (D, anti-codon, and T loops). RNAcentral also lists the same sequence under 2 other names. Lineage: Bacteria; Candidatus Nealsoniibacteriota. The record is from RNAcentral.